This 484-nucleotide ribosomal RNA is filed under the name uncultured bacterium. RNAcentral's name for it is "partial 16S ribosomal RNA". It matches the Rfam family "Bacterial small subunit ribosomal RNA", at positions 29 to 523 of the family's 1533-position model. The record is from RNAcentral.
AGUGAACGCUGGCGGCGUGCUUAACACAUGCAAGUCGAACGAGAACGGAUUAUAGCUUGCUAUAAUUGUCAGCUAAGUGGCGCACGGGUGAGUAAUGUAUAGGUAAUAUGCCUCUUACUAAGGGAUAACAAAUGGAAACGUUUGCUAAUACCUUAUACUCCUUAUUAACAUAAGUUAAUAAGGGAAAGAUUUAUUGGUAAGAGAUUAGCCUGUAUUGUAUCAGUUAGUUGGUGGGGUAAUGGCUUACCAAGACUAUGACACAUAACUGGUUUGAGAGGAUGAUCAGUCACACGGGAAAUGAGACACGGUCCAGAAUCCUACGGGGGGCAGCAGUGGGGAAUAUUGCACAAUGGACGAGAGUCUGAUGCAGCAACGCCGCGUGGAGGAUGACACAUUUCGGUGCGUAAACUCCUUUUAUAUGAGAAGAUAAUGACGGUAUUAUAUGAAUAAGCACCGGCUAACUCCCUGCCAGCAGCCGCCGUAA